This 253-nucleotide ribosomal RNA is filed under the name uncultured bacterium. Its description in RNAcentral is "partial 16S ribosomal RNA". It matches the Rfam family "Bacterial small subunit ribosomal RNA", at positions 524 to 776 of the family's 1533-position model. The record is from RNAcentral.
GACAGAGGGUGCAAGCGUUAAUCGGAGUUACUGGGCGUAAAGGGCGCGUAGGCGGUCUUUUUAGUUGGAUGUGAAAGCCCUGGGCUUAACCUAGGAACUGCAUUCAAUACUGGAAGACUAGAGUAUUGUAGAGGGUAGUGGAAUUUCCGGUGUAGCGGUGAAAUGCGUAGAGAUCGGAAGGAACACCAGUGGCGAAGGCGGCUACCUGGACAAAUACUGACGCUGAGGCGCGAAAGCGUGGGGAGCAAACAGG